AUACAGAGACUUAUUUCGCUU
This 21-nucleotide unclassified non-coding RNA is filed under the name Dictyostelium discoideum. Lineage: Eukaryota; Evosea; Eumycetozoa; Dictyosteliales; Dictyosteliaceae. The record is from RNAcentral.